Molecule: ribosomal RNA, 268 nt
Filed under: Klebsiella aerogenes
Lineage: Bacteria; Pseudomonadati; Pseudomonadota; Gammaproteobacteria; Enterobacterales; Enterobacteriaceae
Description: partial 16S ribosomal RNA
Rfam family: Bacterial small subunit ribosomal RNA
Source: RNAcentral
GCCCGGCUAAUUCGUGCCAGCAGCCCGGUAAUACGGAGGUGCAAGCGUAAUCGGAUUACUGGCGUAAAGCGCACGCAGGCGGUCUGUCAAGUCGGAUGUAAAUCCCCGGGCUCAACCUGGAACUGCAUUCGAAACUGGCAGGCUAGAGUCUGUAGAGGGGGUAGAAUUCCAGGUGUAGCGGUGAAUGCGUAGAGAUCUGGAGGAAUACCGGUGGCGAAGGCGGCCCCCUGGACAAAGACUGACGCUCAGGUGCGAAAGCGGAUUAGAU